Molecule: transfer RNA, 85 nt
Filed under: Felis catus (domestic cat)
Lineage: Eukaryota; Metazoa; Chordata; Mammalia; Carnivora; Felidae
Rfam family: tRNA
About the family: Transfer RNA (tRNA) molecules are approximately 80 nucleotides in length. Their secondary structure includes four short double-helical elements and three loops (D, anti-codon, and T loops).
Source: Rfam by way of RNAcentral
ACCUGGAUGGCUCAGUUGGUUAAGCAUCUGACUUCAACUCAGGUCAUGAUCUCAUGGUUUGUGGGUUUGAGCCCCAUCUCAGGCU